RNAcentral lists this ribosomal RNA (875 nucleotides) under uncultured Colletotrichum. Its description in RNAcentral is "eukaryotic LSU rRNA". The stretch from base 497 to 875 matches the Rfam family "Eukaryotic large subunit ribosomal RNA", at positions 1 to 384 of the family's 3401-position model. Lineage: Eukaryota; Fungi; Ascomycota; Sordariomycetes; Glomerellales; Plectosphaerellaceae. The record is from RNAcentral.
ACUGAGUUACCGCUCUACAACCCUUUGUGAACAUACCUAACCGUUGCUUCGGCGGGCAGGGGAAGCCUCUCGUGGGCGGACCCUCCCGGCGCCGGCCCCGUCACGGGGGCGGAGCGCCCGCCGGAGGAAACCAAACUCUAUUUACACGACGUCUCUUCUGAGUGGCACAAGCAAAUAAUUAAAACUUUUAACAACGGAUCUCUUGGUUCUGGCAUCGAUGAAGAACGCAGCGAAAUGCGAUAAGUAAUGUGAAUUGCAGAAUUCAGUGAAUCAUCGAAUCUUUGAACGCACAUUGCGCUCGCCAGCAUUCUGGCGAGCAUGCCUGUUCGAGCGUCAUUUCAACCCUCAAGCACCGCUUGGUUUUGGGGCCCCACGGCCGACGUGGGCCCUUAAAGGUAGUGGCGGACCCUCCCGGAGCCUCCUUUGCGUAGUAACUAACGUCUCGCACUGGGAUCCGGAGGGACUCUUGCCGUUAAACCCCCAAAUUUUUUCAGGUUGACCUCGGAUCAGGUAGGACUACCCGCUGAACUUAAGCAUAUCAAUAAGCGGAGGAAAAGAAACCAACAGGGAUUGCCCCAGUAACGGCGAGUGAAGCGGCAACAGCUCAAAUUUGAAAUCUGGCCCCAGGCCCGAGUUGUAAUUUGCAGAGGAUGCUUUUGGCGCGGUGCCUUCCGAGUUCCCUGGAACGGGACGCCAUAGAGGGUGAGAGCCCCGUACGGUUGGACACCAAGCCUUUGUAAAGCUCCUUCGACGAGUCGAGUAGUUUGGGAAUGCUGCUCUAAAUGGGAGGUACAUUUCUUCUAAAGCUAAAUAUUGGCCAGAGACCGAUAGCGCACAAGUAGAGUGAUCGAAAGAUGAAAAGCACUUUGAAAAGA